This 301-nucleotide ribosomal RNA is filed under the name uncultured bacterium. Its description in RNAcentral is "partial 16S ribosomal RNA". It matches the Rfam family "Bacterial small subunit ribosomal RNA", at positions 509 to 807 of the family's 1533-position model. The record is from RNAcentral.
CAGUAGCCACGGUAAUACGAAGGGUGCAAGCGUUAAUCGGAAUUACUGGGCGUAAAGCGUGCGUAGGCGGUUUGUUAAGUCUGCUGUGAAAUCCCCGGGCUCAACCUGGGAAUGGCAGUGGAUACUGGCAAGCUAGAGUGUGUCAGAGGAUGGUGGAAUUUCCGGUGUAGCAGUGAGAUGCGUAGAGAUCGGAAGGAACAUCUGUGGCGAAGGCGGCUAUCUGGGCCAACACUGACACUGAGGCACGAAAGCGUGGGGAGCAACCAGGAUUAGAUACCCGGGUAGUCCCUGUCUCUUAUAC